RNAcentral lists this long non-coding RNA (671 nucleotides) under Nicotiana tabacum (common tobacco). Its description in RNAcentral is "long non-coding RNA (NTAB_LNC005674)". Lineage: Eukaryota; Viridiplantae; Streptophyta; Magnoliopsida; Solanales; Solanaceae. The record is from RNAcentral.
AUUCAUAGCAACAACAUAAGUCCAUUGACUAAGAUUUUAUUCAUUUGGCCUAUGCUAAUUAUAUCGUUGUGAUUCAUAGUUAUAUUGGCCGUUUAUAUAAUAGCCACUAUAUAAUUUCAUUCAUUAAGGUCAUACGUAUCUGCCACUAGUUAUUCAUAGCAACCAUAUAAGUCCAUUGACUAAGAUUAUAGUCAUAUGGCCUAUGCUAAUUACAUCGUUGUGAUUCAUUGUUAUAUUGACCGUUUAUGUAAUAGCCAAUUUAUAAUUUCAUUCACUAAGGUCAUACGUAUCGGCCACUAAUUAUUCAUAGCAACCAUAUAAGUCCAUUGGCUAAGGUUUCAUUCAUUUGACCUAUGCUAAUUACAUCGUUGUGAUUCAUAGUUAUAUUGACCUUUUAUAUAAUAGCCAAUGUAUAAUUUCAUUCAUUGAGGUCAUACGUAUUGGCCACUAGUUAUUCAAAGCAACCAUAUAAGUCCAUUGACUAAGGUUUUAUUCAUAUGGCCUAUGUUGAUUACAUCGUUGUGAUUCAUAGUUAUAUUUACCAUUUAUAUAAUAGCCAAAAUAUAAUUUUAUUUAUUAAGGUCAUACGUAUCGGCCACUAGUUAUUCAUAGCAACCAUAUAAGUCCAUUGACUAAGAUUUAUUCAUAUGGCCAAUACUAAUUACAUCGUU